GAUGAAGAACGUAGCGAAAUGCGAUAAGUAAUGUGAAUUGCAGAAUUCAGUGAAUCAUCGAAUCUUUGAACGCACAUUGCCCCCGCCAGUAUUCUGGCGGGCAUGCCUGUUCGAGCGUCAUUACAACCCUCAGGCCCCCGGGCCUGGCGUUGGGGAUCGGCGGAAGCCCCCUGCGGGCACAACGCCGUCCCCCAAAUACAGUGGCGGUCCCGCCGCAGCUUCCAUUGCGUAGUAGCUAACACCUCGCAACUGGAGAGCGGCGCGGCCACGCCGUAAAACACCCAACUUCUGAAUGUUGACCUCGAAUCAGGUAGGAAUACCCGCUGAACUUAAGCAUAUCAAUAAGCGGAGGA
RNAcentral lists this unclassified non-coding RNA (353 nucleotides) under soil metagenome. Its description in RNAcentral is "partial contains 5.8S ribosomal RNA, internal transcribed spacer 2, and large subunit ribosomal RNA". The stretch from base 1 to 120 matches the Rfam family "5.8S ribosomal RNA", at positions 35 to 154 of the family's 154-position model. The record is from RNAcentral.